This 5968-nucleotide long non-coding RNA is filed under the name Sus scrofa (pig). Its description in RNAcentral is "lncRNA (ENSSSCG00040022884.1)". The record is from RNAcentral. Lineage: Eukaryota; Metazoa; Chordata; Mammalia; Artiodactyla; Suidae.
AAUGAACUUAUUUGCAGAACAGAAGCAGACUCACAGGCUUUGAAGGCAAACUUAUGGUUACUAAAGGGUUACUCUAUCCAUCACAGAGAGAACAAAACUGAGACUCAGGACAUGAAGUACUAGCUGGUGGGCAGAGCUGGGAAUCAGAGGGUUCCCUAGAGCUAGGUACUGGCAUUUAUCUCAGGGGUGAGCCAGCAACUGGCUCCAGGGAGGCAUCCGGCAGAACACCUGGUCCAGGCUGUCCUUAUUUAACACCUAUUCUUAAUAACUUGGAAGCAAGCAAGCUCUGUGGGUGCUGCAAAGACUGGAGGCGGAAACCAGAGCAGACGUCCAAAGGAGCUGGUGCAGGCACGAGGGAAGAACUGAGAUCGUGUGGGGAAGUACAAACCAAACUAGCCACAGGGAGCUGAUCCACAGCAAAGGCAGAGCGGUCAGGAGAGAAAGGACAGCUGACAGAUUGAAAAGGGACGGAUGGACUCUGUAACGUGAUGAGGCAGCCUCGAGACCAAGGCUAUUCUGGGCUGCACUCACUAGAGCUGUGAAGUAGAGGCAGGGCCUGCUCCCUGCUUCAUGUUUCCAGAGACAUACACACUCUUCGAUAUUGAUUCCAUGACACAUGCACAUGCACACACACUUAGUUACUGAGCCCAUCUCUCUCUCUCACAGACACACACUCACACACACACACACACACACACACUCUUUGAUAUUGAUCCCAUGACACAUAUGCACAUGCACACACAAUUCUAUACUGAGCCCAUAUCUCUCUCUCUCUCUCACACACACACACACAUACACACAUUAAUGCUAACCCCCAUAAAACACAUACAAACACACAAAACUUUGAUAUUGACUCCCCCUCACACACACACAAACACUUUGAUACUGACCCCAUUGCUCUCUCUCCCUUACACACACACACACACACACACACACACACUUUAAUGCUGACCCAAUAAAAUACACGCAGUUUGAUACUGACCCCCAAACACACAUGCAUAUAUUUUGGUACUUACCCCUUGACAAAUAUGCACCUACAUAUAUACACACACACUUUGAUUCUGACCCCAUGACACACACACACUUUGAUGCUAACUCCAUCACACACACACACACUUUGACAGUGACCUCCAUGAAACACACACGUUUUGACAUUGACUCUCAUGACACUCACAAUAUACAUACACACACACACAUUUUGAUAUGGACUACCACCACACCCCAUGAAUCUUUUUAACUUUCUUCCUUUCUAGGUUUUACCGGUGCAUUUCCUACUGUCUUUAAAAGCAGUUGUGGGGCUAUUGCACUUGUAGAAUGUGCAUGUAGUUGGGAGUGGAUGGGGAGGCAGCAAGUAAGUAACUGAAUGAAGUAGCACUCAGCCACCCUGAUGAGUUAGUCCUAAGUUCCAGAAGACCUGUCUUUAGUUGGAAGCUCUGAUCCUUCAUCCAGAGGCAAUGCAGCCUAGCGGUAAAAAGCAGGAGCCUCCUAAAUAGACAUUUCUCCAAAGACAUACAGGUGGCCAGCAGGCACAUGAAAAAAUGCUCAAUAUCACUAAUUAUUGGAGGAAUGCAUAUAAAAACUAUAGUGAGGUACCACCUCACACCAGUCAGAAUGGCCAACAUUAAUAAGUCCACAAAUUACAAAUGCUGGAGAGGGUGUGGAGAAAAGGGAACACUCCUACACUGUUGCUGGGAAUUUAAACUGGUACAACCAUUAUGGAAAACAAUACAGAAGUUCCUCAGAAAAUUAAAUAUAGAAUUAGAUGUAUCAGGAUAAAACUUUCAUUCAAAAAGAUACAUGCACCCCUAUGUUCAUUGAACACUAUUCACAAUAGCCAAAACAUGGAAACAACCCAAAUGUCCAUUGACAGCUGAAUAGAUUAAGAUGACGUGGUACAGGGAGUUCCUGUCAUGGCUCAGUGGAAACAAAUUUGACUAGCAUCCAUGAGGACGUGGGUUUGAUCCCUGACCUUGCUCAGUGGGUUGGGGACCCAGUUUUGCUGUGAGCUGUGGUGUGGGUCACAGACAUGGCUCAGAUCCCAUGUUGCUGAGGCUGUAGUGUAGGCCAGCAGCUACAGUUCUGAUUCAAUCCCUAACAUGGGAACUUCCAUAUGCCUCAGGUGUGGCCCUUAAAAAAAAAAAAAAGGAUGAUGUGGUACAUAAUUUAUUCAAUGGAAUUCUACCUGGCCAUACAAAAGGACAAAAUAAUGCUAUUUGCAGCAACACAGAUGGAACUAGAGAUUCUCAUACUAGGUGAAUAAGAAAAAGACAAAUACCGUACAAUAUCACUUAUACGCGGUAUCUAAAAUAUGACACAAAUGAUCCUAUCUACAAAACAGAAACAGAUCAUGGACAUGGAGAGCAGGCUUGUGUUUGCCAGGGGCAGAGGGAAGAGAAGCGUAUAUGGACGGGGAGUUUGGGGUCGGUAGAUGCGAACUAUUACACUGAGAGCGGAUAAGUAAUGGGGUCCUACUGUACGGCACAGGGAACUGUGUACAGUCUCUUGGGUUAGAACAUGACGGAAGAUAGUAUUAGGAAAAGAAUAUAUAUAUAUGUCUGCCUGGGUCCUUUUGCUGUACAACAGAAAUUGAAGGAACAUUAUAAAUCAACGAUGCUUUAAUAAAAAAUUAGAAAAAGGAGUUCCCAUAGUGGCGCACUGGUUAAAUGGGCUCAGGGAUAUACUGGGCUUUAGAGCCAGGCAUACCUCUGUGCAUCUCUGAGUCUGGCACCGUGGAGAGGGUCCUCACACGUGGGCACCUUGGGAGGCAAAGCUUUGCUGUGUUCUGCCAAUCCCAAACCCUGUGACCUCCUGUGCCUCCUGAGGCCUAAAGGACAUACUCACAUGUGACAAAGCAUACGGAUCAACUCAUCAAGACUGUGGGUCUGCCUGUGACCAGGCGAGGGGAAGAGAGGUGAGAGUCUCUGAGAGUUUCAUGUUUCUCCCUCUUUAUUUGAGGGACUUAUGCAAUGCCUGCCAGAAGCAAAAAGAUGGUUCUGGACACUUUCAGCAGGCUGUUUCCCGGGAAGAGGGAAGGAACACCUGUGGCAUCCCAGCUGGAAGGGCCCUCUGGGGUUGUGCAGGCCACCUCUCAAAAGUUCAAGAGCCAGCAAUGCUUGUCUGCAGUCCCUCACUAAGGUAGGUGACAGGCAAACCCACCACCAUCCUCAGACCUGUCAGCCAGGGCUUUCCACUCCCAAGUCCUAGGGGAAUAGGGUGAAUCUUGGAAUGUAAGAGAGACAAGCCAUCAGGAGAAUCUUUCUUUUUCAAACUCAAGCAAGGAAAAUCAGAGAGAGAGAAAAUUCAUUAUGCCAUUAUUUUCCAUCUGCAGAACUGACUAAGCAAAAUUAUGGACAGGCAAAGACUGAUCUUUCUCCUGAUCUAGAGCCUGAAUUUGUUCCUGUAGUUUUUGAUUUAUUCAAUUAAUAAAAUGCUUACAUGCCAUUUUUCCUUUAUAAUUAGCAGAUAGAUUUCUCCAAGAAAUGUCCCAAUGCCUGCACUUUUGAACUGAUUAUGACUCUCUGUGGGUGAUUUUUGUGCAUUUUGGAAUGUGAAUCAUUUGACAGCCCUUUUAAAAGUGUUUACUGGAGUUCCCGCUGUGGCGCAAUGGGAUCUGUGGCAUCUCUGCAGCACCAGAACAUGGGUUUGAUCCCUGGCCCAGCACAGUAGGUUAAAGGAUCUGCAUUGCUGCAGGUGUGGCAUAGGUCACAACUACCACUAGGAUCUGAUGCCUGGCCAGGGGAAUUCCAUGUGCAGCAGGGCAGCCGAAAAGAGAAAACAGUUGUUUAUUGCUAAGGAUUGUAAUGUUCUCUCUCAGUAGAGAAGGAGGGUAUGGUCUCUCCUUCCCUUACCCUUUUCAUCUUUCUAGCAGGGCUGCUUGAGAAGCUGACCUGGCAAAUCCUUCUUUGAGAACAUUUCUUCACUUAGUUUUAUAUGAAAGAGAGGCUAAAACGUUUUGCCAGCUUCCAAGAAGACCAGUGGGGAAGACAGAGUUACUGCCACUCAGAAGCUGGUUAAGGGGUGUCCAGGCGCCUUUCACAUCAAGUAAGCAAGCCACGGUUCUCUCUAGCAUAGCACGUGCUCUAUGAGUUGUGCAAUCUCAGUAAGCCACAUAAACUCUCUGGAUAUCACCUUCCUUAUUUCACCAAUGGGAAUAUUCAUAGCUUUGUAUGGUUGUGGUGGGGGUGAAAUGGCAUAACGUGUGACAAAGGGCUUUGGAGAGGCAACAAACCAUACAGAUGCAAGGGAUAAAUUUUUUUUUCUCUUUAGGGCCGCACCCUCGGCAUAUGGCAGUUCCCAGGCUAGGGGUCGAAUCAGAGCUACAGCUGCCAGCCUAUGCCACAGCCACAGCAAUGCAGGAUCCCAGCCGUAGCUGAGACCUACACCACAGCUAACAACAAUGCCGGAUCCUUAACCCACUGAACAAGGCCAGGAAUGGAACCUGCAUCCUCAUGGAUCCUAGUCGGGUCGUAAACCACUGAGCUACAAAGGGAACUCUGAAAGGGGUAAUUUUUAUUCUGUUACAUCUGUCUGUCCUCAACUGGGAUCGGUCUGGAGAAUUUUAUUUCCCCAGAUGAAAACUUCUUUGCUUCCAAGUUAAAAUGGUUACAUUUCAUCAAGGACUGUGGGAUAAAGGCAUGGGUCUUCCACUCUCACUGACAAUGGAACUGUAUCUCUUGGAGACAAGACUGGAUGUUAUAUGUGUACCACUGGUACUAAAAACUUUUCUAGACAUUAGGUCCUUGGACUUAAAAAUUACUGCCUUAAAAAUGCUUUUCCUCUGCACUUUUGCAGAGCUGUUCUGCACCCACAGAGAGCUGGCCAGCAUGGAGCUCAGACACAGGAGUUCCAUGGAAUUUCAGACACAAGAUUUGCUUGUUGUCAGAGAAUAUUUCAUGAAAGUUGCAGGGACUUGAGGGGAUGGAGUCGAGAGGACUUCACGAUACUGACCAGUUUAUUCAGAGAAUCACAAACACUAAAUUUGGAAAGUUAUCUGGGCCAAACUCUUCAUUUUAAGAUGAGAAACUAUGGCUUAAAAUAGGUUAUCGUCUAUGCAGUUACUUUGGGAAAACAUACGUUUUUUUUUUUUUUUCUGAUUUCCAGGCCAAUGUUCUUUCCAUUACAUCAUUAAUAAUAUAAACGGCAUCAACAAUGACCACAACAGGUACUGUUUAUUGCGUAGUGAGUAUGUGUUAGACAUUGUGCCAAGCUAUUGACAUCCAUUCGCCCACUUAACUCCUGCAGCAAACCAGUGAGACAGAUACCAUUCCCAUUUUGCAGAUGAGGAAAAUGAAGCUCAGAAACAUUCAUUAUUUUCCCAAAGUCGGAGUACUGAUAUUUAUAUCCAUCCACAGUAUCGAGAGCCAGUAGGGAUGUAUGUGUCAGGGGUUGGUGCUAUGGUUUACAUACAGCAGUGUCUACAUUUUCUUACAUUUAGAGAUGAAAAUGACUCCUUACCCCCCACAUAUCAGGGGCCCUCUGAAUUGAAAAGUCAUGCAAAACUUACCCUGAAGCGCAGCCUGAUUUCAUAUUGAUGAGAACUAACUGGAAAUGAGGGUGUGGAGUUUCCCCAUUCUUCCGCAUGGCAGGCUUUUAGAAUACAGACACGAGAUGAGUCAGAAGAGAAAUGUGCAGGCUCCAGGCCACAAUGGAAAUACUCAUUUCCCCAAUUGCUCAGCAGCAAAACAUUGAGGCCAACUCUUUUGUGUACGAAGGAUGUUAAAAAGCAUUUUUCAGUCUUAGCAUUGCUUUUAAAAUCAUUAAACCAACUUCUGUUGCACCUGCUGUGGUUUCAUGCUAAGAUCCUACACUCAGGCUUUUUCUCCUCUUGCUUUAUGGGAAGUAUGGUGGAAAAUCACCAGGCCAGCAAACCUCAGUUGCCACUAUAAAUUUUCCUACUCCUUAAACUUGCCUUCAUAUUUUUCCAAUUUUUGUUAAAAAGCAUGAUUCCCCUAUAACAUCUUGCCUCACU